CGUAGGUGAACCUGCGGAAGGAUCAUUAUUGUAUAACCGAGGUGCGAGGGCUGUCGCUGACCCGAAAGGUCGUGCACGCCCGAGUGCCCUCACACACAUCCAUCUCACCCCUAUGUGCACCACCGCGUGGGUCCCCCUUUGGCUUGUUCGGAGGGGGGCUUACGUUUUCACACAAACUUUGUAUGCAGUGUAGAAUGUAUUUUUUGUUUUUGCGAUCACGCAAUCAAUACAACUUUCAACAACGGAUCUCUUGGCUCUC
This 259-nucleotide unclassified non-coding RNA is filed under the name plant metagenome. RNAcentral describes it as "partial contains small subunit ribosomal RNA, internal transcribed spacer 1, and 5.8S ribosomal RNA". The record is from RNAcentral.